This 395-nucleotide long non-coding RNA is filed under the name Nicotiana benthamiana. Its description in RNAcentral is "long non-coding RNA (NBEN_LNC002127)". Lineage: Eukaryota; Viridiplantae; Streptophyta; Magnoliopsida; Solanales; Solanaceae. The record is from RNAcentral.
UAACACGACUUAAGAAUACAUCUUUAUACCAUCUAAAAUCAGAUAGUUGUCUACAACGUAACAAAAAAGGAAUAAAAUGAAAAGAACUGGAGAAAAAAAAAUGAAAAAGUCAGAAUCUCUGUCUCGUCGACAGUCGACAUGAAAAGCUCUGUCUCGUCGACAUGAAAAAAAAAUGAAAAAAAGAUCGCGAGAAUGUCGACAGAGAGAGAAAGAAGAAGAAGAUGGAAGAAGAAGAUGAGGAAGAAAGAAAAAACAAGAAGAAAGGAGAAGAAAAAAAUACCUGGGUUGGUCGUCGGUCGUCUCUGAAGAUGGAAACCCUAAUUUCCGUCACCGGAGAAGAAGAGCGGUCGUUGGUCGAGCUCUGUUUUUUGGUACCAAUUGUUUUUCUAAUUUCA